This 85-nucleotide ribosomal RNA is filed under the name Donghicola sp. JL3646. Its description in RNAcentral is "partial 16S ribosomal RNA". It matches the Rfam family "Bacterial small subunit ribosomal RNA", at positions 1455 to 1533 of the family's 1533-position model. The record is from RNAcentral. Lineage: Bacteria; Pseudomonadati; Pseudomonadota; Alphaproteobacteria; Rhodobacterales; Roseobacteraceae.
GACCACGGUAGGCUCAGCGACUGGGGUGAAGUCGUAACAAGGUAGCCGUAGGGGAACCUGCGGCUGGAUCACCUCCUUUCUAAGG